AAACAUAAAAAAGGAUAAAACUUUAAGUCCUACCCGCACUUUUUCACUUUAAUACUCAAUGAUUUAAAAUAUAUCAAUUUAGUACCUUAUAAUUUUAUUUUUUUCUUUUCGUCAGUUCUUUCGUUAAUAUUUCUUUUAAUUAUAUAUAAAAAAAAUCUUUCAGAUAUCCCAUAUAGAUUUAUCGAAUAUUCACUUUAAUAUCUUUUAGUUUUAACUUUGUUCCUAAUUUAAUGAAAAAAUUAAUAAAAGGGAUAAUAAAGAGAGAAAAAUAAAAUCACGGGACACUAAAUUGAUACAUUUAAACUAUAGAGUACUAAAAUAAAAAAGUGCGAAAUUACGGAGUGAUAUUUGAAGUUUUUUCUAAAAAAAAAAGACUUUUUACGCAUAGUUUGGUUUCUG
This 399-nucleotide long non-coding RNA is filed under the name Ananas comosus (pineapple). RNAcentral's name for it is "long non-coding RNA (ACOM_LNC018541)". Lineage: Eukaryota; Viridiplantae; Streptophyta; Magnoliopsida; Poales; Bromeliaceae. The record is from RNAcentral.